GAUGACAUUUGAACUGCGAUCUGAAGGUUUAGGCCAGCAUGUCUGGAAUAUGGUGCAAGAGAGGGGAAGAGGUGAAGAUGAGAUUGGAGAAGGAGCAAAGGGCCAGAUCAUGUAGGACAGUACAGCUCAAGCAUGAACCUGCAAGAAACUCCCCUUACUGAUGAUGUUGUUGUUUGAUUUACAGAUGGAUAUUACUUGGCAGGUGAGUCUGGAACUUAUACAGGUUGUGCUAUCAUAUCUGUAGCUGAAGAAAUAGAAAGUGCUUAUCUUUCGAAGCAACCUCAGCUCAACAAACAAUUGAUAGCAUUAAUUAGCAGAAUAACUGCUAAUGCACAGAUAGCAGAUAGCCUUUGGAGUAGCUCAUGACUUUGAAAUGCUACAAAGAGGGUUCUUAGCCUCUCCUGGUCAGUCCAUAAAAAUGGGCACCCUGUGUUGCAAUUAUUAAAAGCCAUAUUAUUACCCAGAUCACUAGCUAUUAUUAAAUUCCCAGGUCACUCCAAAUCAGAUACUCCAAAAAAAA
This 520-nucleotide long non-coding RNA is filed under the name Papio anubis (olive baboon). RNAcentral describes it as "lncRNA (ENSPANG00000049148.1)". The record is from RNAcentral. Lineage: Eukaryota; Metazoa; Chordata; Mammalia; Primates; Cercopithecidae.